Molecule: long non-coding RNA, 32759 nt
Filed under: Gallus gallus (chicken)
Lineage: Eukaryota; Metazoa; Chordata; Aves; Galliformes; Phasianidae
Source: RNAcentral
AUACUGUGAUGGCUUGGGGGGAACAGUAGCUCUGAGAUCACUCCUGUAUUGGUGUCGGUACUGCCUCUGCCUGCCAGGCCCUACUGCUGCUGGCUCACCCUGCCCUCACUGUGGAUCACAAGGCUUCACGAUCAUCUAGCUUGCACUGUUCUGCCAUGAAAAUUUAGCGUGUGGUGCAAACUGUCUUCUAGCAAAUCCAGCACUUCUGUUGGUUUUUACCUCUUACUUCCAGCUGUCUCAGAACCAAGACCCGACCAGUGUAUUUGCUAUACACCAUGCUCUCCUCAGCAACACGCUACAACAACCCACUGUAGUUCCUUUGAAGCAAUAUACCAUCCCUUUACACAAAAAUAUAUAAAGAUAAAACUAUUAAAAUGAUGCACAAGCUGUGUAGCAGGCUCAUUUUUCUUAAGAGCUCAGUGACCCACAUGCUUCAGGUACAUCCCAGAGAGCCUGUAGCUCAAGUGGGAUGUGUCUUCCUGUUCUGUGGGGCUGUGGUGUCACCGGGCAUCUUCAGCAAUAUCACCAGCUCAGUGUGCUCAUUUCAGUCCUGACCCAUUUAACUUUUCCUGCCUCAUUACUAAGGAGUAUCAACCUCCUCCUUUCCACCCAUUACAACUGAAGAAGCUGUUAGGACUUUAACAGAAAAAAACUGUUUCUGUAGUUUAAAUCAGAUGACGUUCCCUCAACUUAUAAAGUUAAGAAAACGGGGCUGGAAAACACUGGGGCAGAUGGCUACAACGAGGGGCUAUGAGCAAGCUGUUUUCUGGCAUCCCUCCACUUGCAGCUGCAGGCAACUCAUAUUUUCUAUAGACUAAGGUUUGUUUUCAACAAUUCUGAGUCCUUCUGACAAUGGAAUAUGAGAGAAAUAAGCCUGCUAAUCAGAUCUGAGCCAGGAAGUGGGCACCCCUAAAUUAAUGGCUAUUUUCUUAAGGACUUUUAAUUCCAUUAAUGACCCCCUGAUUUUCGUUCUUGUUGAUGUCUCAAUUGCUCAGAAUUACACAAAGGAAAUCCAUUCACAUAUUUCAGUGUACCGACAGAACUUGCAUAGUGAUAAAGUAAUUGUACGCUAAUCCUGUGUUCUUCACAUAUGUAUACAGACAUAAUAGAUCCGGCAAGUAAUUCACCCUAGAAGAGCUAAUCAAAGGUUUUAAUAUGAUUAAUUCAUUUUAUGUUCAUUUUUUCUGUUUUGUCAGCUUAAAACAAGUAAUAAAAAUUUAAUCCUUCAUUGUUUUAGAAAUACGAUCACUACUUCGAAACGAAAUAAUAUGCCUGCUUGCCCUUGCAGGGAUUUUAAAUAACUGUUUCAAUUCUAUGGCUUGAAUAUAAUAGUUUAUUUCCUCAACAACACAAGGAACAAACAAGAGAAAUGUGAGGCUUGUGCUGGCUUUUUUCUCAAUUUUCUGAUAUUGUCUUAGGAAUCUGUCGACACAAAUAAUUCUUGGUGUGUGCAUAAAUUUUCUUCCGUGAUGAGGUGUUUCUGAGCCUCCAAGGAACUCUGUGAGGGAGGUAUGGGAGAGGCAGGGUUAUAAAAUCCAAACCAAGCUCAUGUUUUCUAACUGAAAACCAUGAACCCUCAUCAAACUAUCUGUCAACAGAAGUGAGGUAUCAUUCCAGAAAGCAUAAAAGAAAGAAUGGGAAACAAAGUGGUGUUUCUUUCACAAUCAUUUUUCAUUUAUGGCCAGCAGAGUACCAGCAAUGGUAAUGCAAGCCCUGCCAGGGGCUGAGGGAUCUAUUCUCCAGAGUGACACGCUGCUAUCAGAAGUUUUCACACAGCACAGUGAAAAUGAGCAGAUGUUCCCCUUGCUGUGGAGCCUCUGGACAAAAAGAACUUUUUACCUUGCUUCCUUCUGAAAGAGUCCUUUAAAGUUGUGCAUCUGUUUGUUUUUGUUUUUUUCUUUUCCCCCCCUUUUUCUUUACUUUCAAUAGUCAGGCAACCCUCAAAGGAACUGAGCAGUUGCAAUGACCACAUUUGUGCAAAGCAUAUAUCCAGCUUUUCCAUAAUAACUCUAUCUGAAUAAAAACAAAAGGUUCCUUUUCCUUUUUUUUGUCCUGUCAAACAUUUCUGAUUACAUUUUUAUAGACAUCUGUAACUUCUGAACUUCUGUUAUACCACCAUUCACAGCAUCACCACUGUCACCAUGGAACACACCAGUGAGAGUACCUUCUUUCCAUGCAGUUGUUUUAAUAGCAGAUUUCAAAAGGAUAUAGAUUUUAAUUAAUUGGAAAGAUUUACAGCAGAAUGUUUUUACAGCAGAAUGUUAAAUAGAAUCAUCUGAAGGAUUAGAGAAAGCCCAAUAAGCCAUUCAUAACUUAUACCAGGACCCAGACAAAUUCAAGACCUAGAGAGCUGAAGGCCUUCUCCUUUGUUCUGCACGUUGUCAGGCUACAAGAUGAAGCACUGUGACAAAAACAGGAUUAUAAACCUGCUGCAUGUGCUGUCUGGAAAGCUGCCUGCAAUUCAGAUCUUUUGCCACCAACACUGACAGUAAGAUUGGAAAUAGGAAUAUGCUCAAUGACCUUGAAAUGAAGUCAAGUAUUGUUAUCCUUCAGAAUCAAAAACUCCUUGCCUUGAAAAGCUCUUGAAUAUUUGGUGCUUUUUAUAUAUACGUAGUUACUUGAUGUUACCAUUUGUAUUAGCUCUAUAAAAAAUUAAAUCACUAAAUGUUGUACUAUAAUAUGUGUAUACAUACAUAUAUGUAAAUCCCUUAGGAUUAGGGUUCUUAGGAUUCAAAGAUGACUUUAAUUAGAUUUCAGAGAAGUUACCCACCCAUGAUCACAACAUGCCAUUUUGUAUGAGAAUCUUCAAACUGCAGAGUGGAUUAAGGAUAGGGCACUGUCACAGAGUUAUCUAGAUAGAUCUGUGCCCGUGACAGGGGGGGCAGUAGGCUCGCGAGCCCCCCUGGCUUCCCGAGUGAAAGAGCAAUAGAGAGAGAGAGAGAGAGAGAGUGAAAGAGCUUCCAAAACCGAAAGCCCUACUUGGUGAAGGCGCACAGCUUGGAAGCACACCCACUCCUCUCCCUGGCAGCAAGCGAAAGUGAAAAAGACCGCGCGCAACCAGAUGACGUAUCUUCCGUGAUGUAUCUUCCUUCUCUGACCGUGAGGUCCUCUGGGAUACAUAGUUCUUCUCUUUUGUCCAUGAUGUUAUGAUGCGGAAUACCAAUAGCAAAGUUACAAAACCAUGACAGGCACCUGAAUAUUAGAUUAUAAUUUGUCUGUCAGGACAAGUCUGACAUUGAAAUGCUCUUAAAGACUCAGACUAAUCCAUGAGAAAAUUGUCCCAGUGUUGGACUGAAGAAAGCAUGCUUUCUGGGGUGUGCCAGGACAGUGUCACCAUGCUAGAGUACUAGAGACUGCUGAGACAAACGGAAGAAGACACCUCAGAUAGCUAAUCACUGCCACUGUGCUUCUGCACUCCCUUUUGAUAAGCUAGAACUCUUCCUAGAACUAUAUGCAUGGACUGUGAAUACAAGGCUUUAUCAUUUGAGGUGUUCUUGAUGUUUUUCCUACGAAAGACAAUCCAUCUCCAUCUCUCUCUUUUCUGCAGACUGUCCUUGUUGCAGAAAAUACUACUGAUAAAAUACACAGCACUGCAAUCCAGUCACAUCAGCUAGUUGAACAGACCGAGAUCUUUAACUGUCAUGUAACAGUUUAACAGUUUUGCGCAGAAGGUGCCACAUACGACAGACAGAUGACUUAAUGACUUAGGGGAAAAAGUCAGGCUUGACUUCAAAUCGUAAAGUUUUAUAACCGAUUUCCUAGGUUCCAGUAAUGUUUAGCUUGUAAUCCUAUUAGUCAGCUCCCUUUCUCAUGGUUCAGUAAUUUAAAGUCUUUUAUUAUUUCUUCCUUGAAUAUGUGGGCUCUGUGGGCACAUCCUGUCCCAGUGCUCUGAGUGGCUGUGCUACUGCAGCUGGAGAUGACAUUUCUGAAAAAGCAGGUGUGUGGCCAGCACAUUCCCAUGCAUCUGUAACCCUGGUUGCCAGAAGCAUUCCACAGGACUUCUAUCUGCCAACUGGAAUUAACUUCAAAUCUGUUAUCCUUUCAUGAGGGAAAAAAACCCACAACUGUCCUAGGCUGGACCUAAGAUACAGCUAUAUAAACAAAUAAUGUUUGCGUGUCACUCUGUCUCCUAGAAGGGGCACAGAAAUGCACUGAUCCAUAUUUCCUUGAGAAACAGAAAUUCUAAUCUGGAACUCAAGUCAGUGAAACAGUCCUUUUCAGAGUGGGAAGUAUUUUCUAAUUCACAGAAAAAUAGUGAAAUGACAAUGCGGUAGCUAUCCUGCAUCAUAAUUGUGCAUCAUGAUUACCUAAGUUAAUACAACUUUUAAAAAUGCUGUAUUCUUCAAAGUCUUCAUGCACACACAGAAACAAUACAGAAAAUCAAAAUCUAGGAUGUAAGGGAAGUUCAGAGGAUGUCCAUUCCAACCCUGUGCUCAAACUAGGUCUAAAUAGAUGAGGUUGUGCAGGGCCACAUCCAACUAAGUCUUGGAUACCUCAGUGAAUUCUGUAACCUCGCUGGGAGACAUGCUGGAGUAUUUAACCACUUCUAUGCACAUCAGCACGCUUACUGCUUGCACGGGUGCACGGGAGCCCUCUGUGAAUGUAUGAACUCUCACUUUCUCUUGUAGAACUUCAUGAAGUUCUGCUCAGCCCAUUUUCUCAGCCUGCCUGAGGUGCCCCGAGUAGCACCUAUGCCCUCCAGCACAAGGACCAUUCUCUUCAGCCUAGUGUUUGUCAGAAACUUGCAGCAAGUGUGCUUCAUACCAUGGGCAGUUCAGGCAAUUGUUCACCCACCUUACCUGCUUACUAAUUUGAUGAUGAGGAGACUAUGGUGGACUGGGCUAAAGGCAGUUCUAAAAAUCAAGGUAUACAACAUCCGUUGUCUCUCUUUUCUACAGCACAGUAUUCCCCUUCAAGAGAGCAGUGAGGCUGCUCAGGCAUCAAUUGUCCAUUUUGAACUCCUGCUGGCUGCUCAUGAUCACUUUGUCUUUCAUGUGUUUACAAAUGGUUUUUACAGAGAUUUGCUCCACAAUCUCACUAAGGACCAUGGCAAGGCUGAUCAUGAAUUUUAUUACAAUAGAUGGUGUCCUUGCAUUCAGUAAAAAAAAAAAAAAAAAAAAAAAAAAUCUAACAAUGAAUAAAUUACUAAAAAAAUGCAUACUAAGUUUUCAACAGAAACUCUGGCACUACAAGUCUGUGGUUUCAAAUAUGGGAAUAAACUAUAAGCCAGUCUGUAGUAAGAAGCAUCUCAAAGACUGAAGAGGAAUGGAAGAAGCACAUCACCAAGUUCAAGAGAUAGCCAUGAGUCAGUUAAUUUCACAAACUGCUAUAGUGGAGUUGUUUUGCUACUACUGUGCAAAAAUUAUUGAGGUAGUUUAUUAAAGGCAGAUAAAUGGCAUUUCUUUUCUGAGGAAGUACAAAUAAGAAACUCAGUUAAAGAACACAACUUACAUCACCGUUUGUCUUUGGGACUCAUCCAAUAGAGUGCUGAGCAAACACUUUCUUUGCCUUAACUGAAUAAAAUUCUAAUUAGAGUAAUUGAGCUUUGACAACUGCUAUGUCAUUAAAUAUAAACUGACUUUAAACUAAUUGUGUUUGCACUAUACUAUGAUUUCCAUUAAUGGAUGUAUUACUGUUUAUACUCUACAAACACCUUUGAAGUCGAACAUUAAAAUCUAUGCUGCAUAAUUUGAAAUGAAAUGUCCUGUGAGCACAAACCAGGCAUGGCACUACUGGUAAUGGUCCUGCAAAGGAAUACGGUCCACACCCUCAAUGUCUGUGACAAACAGCAGGGUAAAGGUGACUGUCAGCUCUUUGGACUUCGUCUGUUCUGGAGGAGGGAGCUCUGUAUUGGUUUCUGCAAUGUAAAGCAGAGCUUGGUGUGGAUUUCUCUAAUUUGGGCCAGCUGCUAUCAAUCCUGCAGAGUCUAUGAUGCAGCCUUGCUAAGCCACUUGCUGUAGUUGUACUUCUUGUCCCAGCAGCCAAGUGCAGAACGUGACUUACGAAUUUUAGAUAUUAUGAAACAGCAUCACUGUAAGUUAGAAAAAUUGUACGGCGACUUUCCACCUGAAAAAAAGAUCUGCCUGUUUGCUCUGGGAAUUCAACUCUACAAACAGAUCUUCCUUUUGUACCCUUGGUCUUGCCUCAUUUUGUUUCAGCUGUUAUCAGCAGACAAUAAUUAACAAAUAAUCUUCAGAAUCAUUUGUGUAGUUGGACUCAUAAAUGUCAAGUUUGUUUUGCUACUGUUGUACCUACAUUGCAUACCUUACCUCUAUUCAAUUUCCACUAUAAAUAUAAAGCACAAUACAAAAUGGAAAAAAAAAAAUCCUAACAAUCUUAUUCACUGGGAUUUAUGCAGAAGGCAAAAAGGGGAGAAAUGAAAAAGGAAAAAAAGCUGUUUAAAAAUUCACAUGAAUACAUAUAUAUAUAUGAACGGUUGUGCGCUAUUUUCUUGUCACUGCUGCAGUAGGAAAAUGGUGCACAUAAUACAAGUUAGAGUUCAAAGAGUAUGCAGUAAUACAAGUACUAGGAAAAAAACCCUGAGUUUAUAAUCUUCUGCUUUUCCAUCCAAAUCUAUUUGCCUGAAAUGUAUUUUCAAGAGUUUGCAUUUACAAUUUCAAGUAGAACAAAAUAAAAUAAUUGAUUAAUUACAUGCCAGCUGACCAAUAAUGUUUUUCAUAAUUAAUCACUGUCAGUAAUUUUAUACUAACAUGUUGAGUAUUCAGUGCCAUCACAGUUCUGGAAUGGGAGGCAAGGGUAAGAAGAUGACUUUUUAUCCAAAUAAUUUUGAACUGCUGGAAAUCUGAAACUUCAUUUGUCAAAAGUGCUAGCAUAUUUCUGAGAACUUACAGUAUUUUGCAUGCUAUGGUGCAGAUCUUGUUUCUGUCCUGAGCAAUUGCUGGUGUUCAAUUCUGAGACAGUGUUUCUGUUAAGCCUUCCGAGUUAAUCCAAGUUCAAGUCACUGAAAGCAGACUAGUACUGAUACUUGGACUUCUAGAAAUUUUGAAUCUUUUUACCUAGGCAUCUAUUUUACGUAACAGGUGUAGUUGCACUGUAAACGCAGACCAAAAAUAACUUCCCAUACAGAAUGAGCUUUAUCUCCACAGUUUGGGUCACAGCUGAAUGUGAACUUCUCUAGGGCUCAGUGAUUGCAGGGAGGCCAUGUAUUUGUAACACACACUUCACCUGCAUAGUGUGACUAACCCUCAAUACUUCCCAGUUUUGUGUUUUUGGUGGCUUUAUAGUGACGUUUAACUCAUUCAAGUCACUGCAUGAUGUGGCGUCCAAAUGAGGGGCACCCACUCCCCGAACUCCCUGCAAUGAAUGAUGCAUCACGCUUCAGGCGUGCAGGUAGUUCUGGAGAUCUCAGGAGAAAAGUAGAGAUGGAGACACUGCAUAACGUGUCCAAGAUCCUUACAAUAUGCUGAACUCACAGUGCAGCUUCAGUUCAUGCCCGUUUUGAUUUUAGCAUCAUUAGACUUACUGUAUGACAUCUCCUACUUGGCUGCCAGAGAUCUGAAAAUCUUGGAUGAUAUAAUAAAUUACUCUUUUCCUGUUUAGAUAAUAUUUUUCAGCAUCUGCAAAGAAACAGUGGUAUAGGAGUUCUAAAAUCCCCAGGUGGAUAAUAAGCAGAUAAUAUGCACAACAUAUAAUGCAGUGGAACUGUCCAGCACCGAGCACUUGAAGAAUGACAAUUCAGAUGUGCUCAGUGGUACAAGUGAAUUCUUCAUACUUAAAAAAAAUUCAAGUGGUCUUCAUAGGAAGACCUUUCUAGAAUUAUGCUGUCCAUUCCACUAGAAAACUUUGCAGAACUGCAUAUUAUUGACUCUUCUAAACAAAUUCAAAACCGCAUAAACAAAACUAAUACUGUAGCUGGAUAGGUUAUUUCAAUUUUUUUUUACGUGCAACAUCUGUUCUGAAUUGGUGUCUGUCUACCUCAAUGCCCAGAAGUUCAUUUUCGAAUGAGUAUCUGCAUCUGCAAGUCAGAAACCAAGUGUGGCUUUACUUAGUUUGCUGAAGCGCUGUAAGGAUGUUUCCAUAAGUGAUCCGUCAUGCGUUCUUCAGGUCUGCAAACAGCAUAAUCUUUGUCUUAAAAAAAAAUAAGUCAUAUAUACUAGUUCAGGAUAAAAAUGUAAUUUAACUGCAGUCUGAUUAAAAAAAAAUCAAGCCUGCUUCCCUAUAGUAUUAAAUUUUCACCAGAACUGAGUUUAAGCAGCAAUUAAAACAAGAAUAGGAAAAAAACUGUGACAAGCAUAGUUUAGGCAACAUAGAUGUAAUAAUUUACAAGUAAUUUUUUUAAUUGGGAGCACCUGACAACAGAGGUGAAUCUAGUUAUGGCCAUUUGUGAACUGGAUGCAUCAGGGUGAGGGUGGUUCGGAUUUAAAAGGUGGAAGACCAAGAGAACAAAGGUAGAUGGGGUGGAAAAUAACGCUGUAAAAAGAGCUUGAGAGAAGAGAGAGUAUAGGAGGUGAAAAGCUGUUUUGGUACCGUGUCAGCCAUCCCAUUGCAUAACAUACGAAAACACACAGAAAAACCUUUUUUUCUGGAGCGUGCAGCUGUCUGGUAGUUAGAUAAAUGAAAUUCUUCACUAAUAAAAACUUGCUAUUUUGAAUGGCAGUACAAAAAUGGGAAACAUGAAUGUUCUGUGCAGUGUUCUACAAAGAUUAAAGGUGACAAAUAUUUUCAAGUUCAGCUAAUUGUCUUAGGGUGGAAAUAACCCUGAACAAUAGUUUAAGUGCCGAAUAAAAUGUUUUGUGACAGAAAUUUCCUAGAAAAUUGAACGAGGCACGUUUACAGUGCAGAAUGCAUACAGCUGACAUACUCUAAAAUUCGUAAGUAUUUAAUUACUUUAUUCAUAAUAUAUAUGCAGUGAGCUCUGCAGUUUUCAGUCAGUGUCCCAUUUGAUUACAUUAUUUUGAGCUAAAUGUUUCAAAAUUUGCAGACAGCUUUCACUGUGUGGUUUUCUAUAAUCAGCCACAGUUCAUUACCAGUGACUCCACUGGCUAAAGCACUACAUCUGGAAUAUUUAACCCUUAGGGCUUUGCUCAUGCUAUAACUUUUUGCCCAUUUGUAAGGGAAGACAAAUAUACAACUUGUGGGAGCCUCAGCUCUUACUGAGCAGUCAUCAUUUGAUACUGAUCAACAUUAUUGAUGUAGGGUUUGACCUCUUUCAGUUUAAUGUUUCCAACGCCCUUCUAUCAUCUAUGUUUUAGGAUUAUAGCCACUUCUAUACAUGUAUUGCUAUUUAGCACUACAAGCUCUGCUAGUAUCUCAUUCUGAAUGUAAUAGGUACAGCAUUAUGUUAUCACCCAACAGCACGAGUUGGUAGAGGGACAACUGCAGCUUUUCAAACAAAGUUCAUCUGGGGAUAACUCAGGUGGGAUUGCAAGCCUGAUCUGCUGGUAAAAGUGAAGCUUCAUAAUCUAAUUUGAGACAUAUUAGAACAUGAUUUGAAACAGACCAAUUAUAGUCUAUCAGUCCAAAUUACAGUAUAUAUAAACUAUGUAAUAUAAAAUAUUAAUCUGCUGCUUUCAGACCAAAGAAUCAAUGCAAGUUUAUUUUCAUAGACAAUAAAAGAAAACAGCUUUAUGUAGAUUUAGGAUAGUUCUAGGAUUUGACAAUUAGAACAACUAAAAUUCCACUUCUCCAGGACAAGAGCAGGAAUCUUCAGAACUAUGCACUUGGCUAAUUUUAAUUGAUUUUUUUAAUAUAACCUAUUUUUUUAGCUUGCUUCUUUCAAUACUGAAUAAAAGCAUAAAUAGUUUAAUUGAAAAAUUAAAUUAAGAGUAAUCAAUUUGUAACAGAUUUAUAAAAGCAUAUAAUUCCUCUUGCACAAGAUUGAGUGGCUACACUUCAGUCCAUUUAAAAAAGAUUUCCUACAUUACUGUAGGAAGUGUUUCUAGAAAUAGUAAUUGUUUUACUUCCCUCCUAAAUUAAUAGAAAUGAUAGGCCCUGGCAUUCUCUCUUCUUAUCAACACGUAAAGCUAUAGGCACGCAGCUCUGCCUGUGUCUUUCCCUGCGGUAGGUUCUGUCUCAAGCAUGGGACUUCUUGGUACACAUGGAAGCUGCUCUCUGUGCUUUAGUUCUUACACUUGCAGUCCGUUUCUUGGCUUAGGAAUAAACCUUUCACUUAUGAUGCUCCUGGGCAUUGAAUAAAAGCUUUGGUCCUUGCUCUCUAGGACUUUAAGACUUGAAGUUACGUCCCAGAUAUGUCGUGCUUUUUGUACUCGCCCAGGACUAACCUUGGAGCAGCAAGCAUCACCCUACCUGCAAUGCAGAGCUGCUUGCAACAUGUAGCAUAACUUCUCACAAAGAGAUCAACAGAACUGAAGUUCAAGUUUCUGAAACACAUUUUAUGAUCCAGUAACUGAGAAACAGAACUCCCGUGUGGCUUGAAAUGGUACAGAAAGUGAGGCAGGACAAUGCAGACAAAGCCAGCAACUGAGGAAGUCAGACUUUUAAGUGCUGACAAGUCCCAUAAACCUACGGCUGUGCUAGUAAGCUAAGCUGGCUUGAUGUCAAAUGGUAUGGCAGGGCACAUGGCCACAGAGCUGUUUUCAUAUCCCAAAUGGGGUGGCCCCUUCCAAGCUGCUUUCAGAAAACAUUUUGUCACCUAUGCUAUUACCCAAACAUGUCCAGACCCAUGGGGUAGCACUGCUGUAUCAGAGACCAUACAAACUGGGCAACUGUGUGCUAUGCUGCAGCUUAGACAGAGGCUCCAUUUAAUUUACUAUUAUUGUCUGAGAAUGUGGGAUAUUCACACUUAAGUAAAAAGGAUUUGGGGCAGAUAUCAACCAAUGCAUGUUGGGCCAAAUUAUUCAGACUUGGAGACAGCACAUCAUUCAUCUCCCAUUUUGGAGCAGCUUGUGCUGCUACAUUACUCUACCAACACUAGGGAACUGCGAUUUUUCUUUUUAUAUUGUUUUCUUGUGAACAUACAGGUUGAGGUUACUGGUUGAUUUGUUCAGCCAAUUUUGCAGAUCUGUCCAUGACAUUAGGGGAAAAAUAAUUCUUUCCAGUUCUUUCCAAAAAAGAUAAUCCAAUGCUGCAUUCGAUUUUAAGCAGUUUGAAGUCUUAUCAGCCUCAAAUAUCUUUUUUUCAAAGAGAUUUAGAGGGUUCUCAAAGAAAUAUAUAGAAUAUUAUAAACUUGAAGUAAUAGUUUUAACAGCAGAGGCAGUAUACCAUUUCCUUUCAGAUUCUGACAGCCAUAACUGUAAUUCAUGAGUAAACAGUCCACUACUGUUAUGUGUUUAAAAGACAGUAAUUCCCUCUACAUAUCUUGGUUGAAAGAAAAGGAAUUUUGAUACUCAUUUAUCAAUUACAUAGAAACGCAGAAUAAUAGCUCCACAUUAGGAGUCCAGUUUGCUGAAAGAAGAGAUGACAACACAUUUUCCAUCUAAGACCUUUAAGCCAAUAUAGGUCUUAUGACAAUACAUAAAAAAGACAAGAGAAUCAUGUGUGUAGGGUAAGAGCAAGAAGCAGUCUGAAAACCAACUGGGUCCUGAAAUGUGUAACAUUCUCUCUCUCUUUCCUGACUUCCAUCCACUGCAACAUUUUCUUCUAAACAUCAAAGAGAUGAAUUUACAGACAAUUUCAACAGAGUUGGCAGACAGUACCUGUUCUUAAUCUACAAGAGUAGCCUUACUUCAUUUGGGCAGAAGUCCCACUGAGUUCAGAUUCAGCGUGCAAAAGGCAAGUAGGUACUGUAAGAGAUUUUGCUUAUACUGAUCAUCAAAAGGUGUGUGCAUGAGUAAUUCCUAAAGGCAGGUUUAGAUGGAGCUGAAAACCUUCACAGCUGGCAGUGUGAACUUGCCAGCCGUGAACCAGUUCCAGCCAGGAGCUAGGCACUCCAUGCACACCAUCUGCUACGGCAAGUUCCCAGUUUACACACACACUCCUUUCCCUUUUAGAUAUUUUUAAAUAAAAUAUCAAGCUUUUUAAAACUUUUUUUUUUUUAAAUGACACCAUACUUACAAUUAAAUAAAUGAAAACUAAGCCUGAGGUGGGGGAUUUUACCUCCUCCUGUACGAUUUUUUGUAUUUUCCAAUCCCCUUCUAAAUGGUCUUCCUCUUUUUCACAUAUUUAUUCAAAUAAUAAAACCCAGCAAUAGCCAUGCACAUCGAGCAUUAGCCCACAUACCAAGCAGCCAGAAUUGUACCUCAUAAUGCCACACGUGUCUGCUUCCAGGAAAAGGAGGUGAAUAGCUAAAUAGGGUUUUAAGGGUUCACUUGCUUUUGUUACAUCUCUAUUGCUGUUCAUAAUUUUCAAAGCAAGUAUGGAGAGUUCUUUCCCCUUUUUCAAGGCUGCAUAUUUCAAAUACCAAAACUGGAGUUCUAAGUUUUCUAUGGUUGCUUUGAUCCCAAUGGCCUGAUUCCAACACAUAACUUCACGUUACCCCUGUGUUUAAAGCACUCAGUUCAAUGUAGACUUACACAAGAAAUCUUUGGCUAAGAAAGACUCACCCGAUUUUCCAGCUAUGGUAUAAAACAGGUCUUACCUCUGCCCCUUCACUUCUGAGAGACAGAAAAUCCCUGUUUCUACUUGUGAAGAGAGUGAUAUCGUGGAAGCAGCCGAGGAAAUGAGGAUCUGUAACAAAAGGUAGUCCUUUUAAGCAGAAGGUCGUUGUUAAGAUGACAAUACAGUUUCCAGGUCUCUUGGAUUAAGCUUUUCAGGUAAAAACAAAUCUUUCUUUAGCUUUCCCCAGUUUUAAGAAGGGUCAUCAAGUUUGUUGUCAGUGCAUCAGGGCCUGACAUGCAUGGCGCAGACAUGUAAAUCCAGAAGGAGCUGGAGGUUUAAACUCCUGCUGCAAAAUCAUCUUCAUGUGCUUUAGCAUGCUUUUGAGAUAGACCCCAUAAACUAGUCCAAUUCUAAGCUCUGUACAUGAAAAAAAUGCCUUGAAAAUACCAUAGCGCUGCUAGACCUCCCCUCAUGUUUUAAAACAGUGUUUGAAAGGGAUACAAAAGCCUUACUGUGAAGAAAAAACAUCAUUAGUUUUUGUUCUUGUAUUCACAAUAUACUGAUGUAGAGUACACUGUGCAGUUUCUUACCUAAGCCUAGGCAUUUCCAUACCAGUGACAUAGAACCUGGAGAAAUAAAAACUAGGAUGCUAAGACAGGUACUAAAUUAUCAUGUUGCCACCUCAUUUCAAGCUCCUCUGACACAGAGAUGUGAACUUAAAGAAGGUAAGUUACUGUGAUGGGAACAUAUGAGAGGAAAGAAAAAAUUAAAACUGGGCUACUAUAAGAUGAAACCCUUCAAAGUAGUGCAGUAAGAUUGGGAUUCUGAGUAGACUUGAAUAGACAUGUAUUCCUCUCAAUUGGAGAGACCUGGAUGCCAGGAUGGGCUCAUGGCUACAGUCUCUGCUAUGUGAAAUCCAGUUUGGAUCCUAAGAAACUCUGGGGUUUCAUCAGAAAAUGCAAUACUAAAUUACACCUUCUACAAGUCAAAGCUGGAUUUAAAACAAACGAACAGCUUUUACAGUUCAUCUUCAACACGUUUUUGGUCCUCUUAUGUCCACCCAGGAUCACGCGUAGGUUUUAGCCAGCUCCUUGUUUCUUCUGCUGAUCCUGGAGUUGCUAUUACUUUCAAAAUCAUUGUUUGUUUUUAUCUGAAACUAAGUUAAAUACUGACACUGCCACAAAAUUCCAUUAUGCUCAUCAUAACAUGGAUAACUGGUAAAAGUUCUGCUGGAGACGUUGUUCUGGUUCUUGCCUUUUUUUGGUCAAUUGGUGACAGUAUGCAACUCUGAGAAAGGCCGUGGGCCUCAAGAGCUUCCAAAACUUUUGCCUCCCCUCGGCUUGUCUUAAUGGUUCCAGAUGGUUUCUAGAGAUUAGUAUUGCUUAGCUACACUGUACUGAUGAUCACUGUCAGAGCAGGUGAGCAGAAAUUAACUGAUUCCAUCUGUGUCUACUUCUGGGCAGAGAGUAAUCUCUAAUGCCCACUCCUAUGAAGAAGCAGAGGGCAUCGGAUAAGUAAUCUCUAGUGGGAUACAGGUACGUUGAGAGACUGUCUCUCUUUGUAAACGCUAAUACAGAAGAUAAGCUAUUGUCAUGAAUGUACUGUAGCUUCAGGUCUGAACUCUGAAUAUAUAACCUAGCUAUACUAUAAAAUUUUAAGCAUUCUUCCAUGAUAAAAUUCACCUGAAUACAGAGACUGAAAAUAGUGUCUUCUCUCCACUCCUGAUGGAAACAUUAGGUUUUUCUGAGUUUGAAAUAACAUACACUUUCUACAUAUGAGAAUAUAGAGAAAUAUAUUUAAGUGGAGUGGAUUUAAAAUAUAAUUCUGAUUAAAAAACAAACCAAACUAAAAAAUGCUAAGAUAUUAUCAGAAACUAUAUUAUAUUGUCAUCCAAAAGAAUCUCUACAAACUUGAAAAGUGGGCCUGUGUGAACAUAAUGAAGUUUUACAUAGCAAAGUGCAAGGUUUUGCACUUGGACUGGAGUAAACCCAGCUAUAUAUACAGACUGGGAGAAGAACUGCUGAAGAGUAGCCUGAGGAGAAGGACCUGGGGGGUCCUGGUGGAUGAAAAACUUAACAUGAGCCAGCAGUGUGCUCCUGCAGCUCAGAAAGCAAAUGGUAUCCUGGGCUCCAUCAGAAGAGGGGGGGCCAGCAGGAACAGGGAGGUGAUUGUCCCUCUCUAUUCUGCCCUCAUGAGGCCCCAUCUGGAAUACUGUGUCCAGGUCUGGGGCCCCCCAGUACACAAAGGACGUGGAGCUGUUGGAGAGGGUCCAGAGGAGGGCCACUAAGAUGAUCAGAGGGCUGGAGCACCUCUGCUACGAACACAGGCUGAGGGAGCUGGGCUGGGCUGAACAAGCCCAGCCUGGAGAAGAGAAGGCAGCAAGAAGACCUCAUUGCAGCCUUCCAGUAUUUAAAAGGGGACUGUAAGCAGGAGGGGAAUCAACUUUUUACACAGGUAGACAGUGAUGGGCCAAGGGGGAAUGGUUUUAAGCUCAAGGAGGAAGGUUUAGAUUGGAUGUCAGGGGAAAGUUCUUUAUGCGUGGCGAGGUGCUGGAACAGACUGCCCAGAGAAGGUGUGGAUGCCCCAUCCCUGGAGGUGUUCAAGGCCAGGUUAGUUGGGGCCCUGUGCAGCCUGGUCUAGUACCAGACCUGGAGGCUGGUGGCCCUGUCUGUGGCAGGGGAUUGGGUCCUGAUGAUUCUUGGGGUCCCUUCCAACCCAAACCAUUCUGUGAUUCUACAAUUCUACCAUAUUAACAUAUGGUAAUAUGUUUCCAUUAAAGAUGGAAGACUUUUCUUCCUUACACAUCCCAAAUCUGCUCAAAGACUCACUUGCAGACUUUUCAUGCAAGGCCCAGGGUUCACUGCACAGCUGAUGAACAGCUGCGUUGAAGUCUGGCACCACUCAGAAUACUCCUGGAGAAAAAUAAAAAAAGAACCUAGUAUUUGUCUUAAUUCUGUAAGUGCUUUCUCCCUUCCUUUUGAACAUUUGGCAAAUAAAAUGCUAUUGCAUAAUUUUGGUUGGAAGGCCACAUCCCCUCAGAGGAGAGAGGUGCUUUCUAUUAAGUUUUACCAUUUAAACCUGAACCAGAGAUCCUCUGCCAGCGACUUAUCUUAGGAAAUCCUGAAUACAAGGUACUGCAAUGAGUAUGCUGAAGUUGUCUUUCAUUAUUAUUUUUGGAAUAUCCGUUACUCUUCUAGAUUAUGACAAUUAGAUAUUCAUGAAAGUACAAUAUAUCUUUUUUCUCACUCUGUCACAAUGGUUCCAAUAUUUAAUACAAGUAAGGAUCUUCCAGAGUUAAAAAUUCAGAGACUGUUCAAAACCUUGUCUCAUACAUCACCACACAAGGUCAGAGUUAUGAUCCCUAUCAUGUAACGUUCAUGUUCUGGCAGUGUUUUGAAUCAUUAGACUUAAGAGUCUUUAUAGAACUUCUGUGAGAGCUCUCCAAAGCAGUAUUUUCAGCAGUUGUCAUCUUGGCUGUGGGAAUCGGGAGGCCCACCACAGAGCCUUGUUCUUCAAACUGAUUUAUUUAAUAAGGACAAGAUCUGUCCUUACUUCUUUAAGGUAGUUUCUGAAAUACAGAGUGACAUAGUUCCGAUGCAUUUCAAUGUUUGCUUCCACAGAUGCAACUCAUGGCAUCACAAAAGAAGCAUUUGAAGGAGCAAUGCAGAUUUUUUUUUCUCAUUAGUGAGGGAAGUGUUUCCUCAAAGAAAGAAACCUACAGGUUUUAGUACUGAGCACAGUCACUGGCCCCAGCCUGACAGGCAGACUUCUCCUUGUGAAGGUUUGCCAUCACGGUUUAGUGAGUCUUUCUGGAUACUCUGUACAUUCUGAAUAGAAGCCUAACCAAUUCUGUAAGUGGAUUCACUUGAUCCCGUUAAGAGCAGCCAGGUGGAAAUCCAAAACUUGAACAAAAAACUUAUGCAAAAGCCAGCAUUCUUCUAACUCAUGCUAUUGUUUGCCACUAUUCAGCAGUCCACACCCAAAACAGGUGAAUAUAGUAUUUCACUGCAGGCCUACAUAUAACUGAAAUAAUCUUGCAAGUAAUCUCUUCUGGCUAUGGUGUAGUAACGGCUAUCAGACUGAGCAGCACUUUGUAUAUCACCUUUUGUUUAACAGUGAGUGCUGGAUAUAUAAAUAACUACACCACAAGUGCAUCACAAAGGAUCUUUGGUGAUUCACAGACAAAACAAAGAACAUAAUAUGGGACAGGCAAGAGGAAACCGCCCCUGUCUUGGCAGAACUAUUUCGGAUUCCUCACACUACUCCAGAGCUGGUCCCAACAGCGUGAGCAUGACCCAGUGAGACUGGACUGCUUGCUCGGCCCGAAAACCCAGCUCUGCUGAAGCCAGUGAGAAUACUGCAUCCUUCCUCUCAACAGUUUUUUGUUUUUUUUUUAAUAAAGAAGAGCCAGACUUUCAAUGAAGGCUUUUGAGGAUUAUUAAAGCACUGUUGAUUAGAGAAAAUUAACAUACAGCGAGUUUGUGUUAAGUGCAAUAACUCAGGUUUAUCAAUUUUUAUCAAGAAUAACAGUUUUUAUCUACCUCUGAACCAGAAGGUACCACUCAAACAUAUGAUACAAGUGACAUACAAGUUUUUGUUAAACAUACAAGUGUUACCCCGUUCUGUCAAACAUGCUUAAAACUCAUAGAAUUAUUUAAUGGUUUGAGUUGGAAGGGACCUUAGAAGACAGUAUUAUUCUAACCCCCUACCAUGAGAAACGACACCUCCUACUACACUGUGCUGCUCAAAGCCUCAUCCAGUCUGGCCUUUAAAACUGUGCAAAGCUAACGGGACAACUGCAAUCCUGACAUAAGAAUUUCCACAAAGUUAAGAAAAAGCUGAAUAAUUUUUUUUUUAAAGGCUAUCAAAAUACCCUCAAUAUCCAGUGACUUGUCAACUCAUAUAGAAUAACGUGUAAUUAUUACAGAAAUAAGCAUUUUUUUCUUACUGCUCUAUUUUUUAUAAUGAUUUGUAAAAAGAAGCCUCUUUCAUUUCAGCCUCAAGGCUCACAGUCACAUGUAAAUUGAUUUAGCUUAAAUCCUUCAUAACAUAAGGUAGGUCUAAAUAAAAAGAUUAUGGUACCACAUUGAACAAGAAAGCUUUGGAAAGCAGGUGUUUUUUAAUAGCAGUAAUAAAAAUCAAAUUCCAUCUUUUAAUUAGGGAUUCUUAUGGUUUGCUUCUAACUAAUAGCACAUUAUUAUUUGUAUUACUACAAAAUCGGUAGGGAUAGAACUUCCUGUCACCUAAAACCACUAGAAACAAUUAUUAGAAUCAUUUUCAUGCCAUUGAGUGAAUUUAGUUUUCUGUGGUUGAUAAGUUUUGACUGUAAUUACUGGUGAUGGCAGUGUAGAUAACUUCAAGGGCAAAUAACCACCACCACCAGCAAAAAGUACAAAAAACUUAGUCCAGAAUUUCCAAAUUGAAAGCAACCUUGGAAAUAGUAUCAAAUCCACAAUUUAUUUAUGACAAUUAACAUUUUCAUUACAAAAUAAGGGAUAUGGAUGCAGCUAUUUUCUUUAUUUCUUUUCAGCCUUUUUCUCUUUUUUUUUUUUUUUUGUUUUAUGGCAGCUCUCAAGAGAAAUGAGACUACAAGAACUAUGUCUUUUAAAAACAUCCAUAAAACCAUACGCCAUUAUCUGACAGCUGAUGCAAAUGUAACCAGCUCAUUUAGCAUAAGAUUUCAUCGCUUGUUGAAACAAUACCCAGUGGUUGCUCUUGGCUAAUGUAACUAGUGUCUAGAAAUUGCAAGCUCCAAAAACACAUUUAAACCAAGCAAACAGAAGCAGGCUUUAGAAAGGCAGACAUAGUCAUUCAGAUCCUGACAAAAGCAGAUCAUCUAAAUGCUAUGCUUAUUUAAAUUCUUCACACUCUUUCUUUGACAUGAAGAGACAGCAUUCACAUAUCCUUCACAGUUCAUAAAUCUUACCGUGAUGCAAUGGCACAUUAAUCAGAACUAGUGAAAGUAAUGCAGUCCAUAGCUGACUAAUAUUCAGAAGGCGCUUCUCUGCAUUUCUACGGAGGAUGCUUAACCAGCAGAGGAUCCUUAAAGCAUCCCCCGAAUAGGAAUCCCCAACACUUGCCUAAAUAAAAAUGCAAAGAAUCUUUUAUCAGGGAUUUCUUUGCUGUACAUAAGUAGUUGCAUUGUUAAAACAAACAAACAAAAUUCCCUGUUACAUCCCUACAUUUAACUUGAGAGUUAAUUUAUAGCUUCAGUGAAAUGUGAGAGAUGAGAUGGAGACAUCUGCUUACAGAAUAUCUUGUAAUUAAACUAAAAAAAUAUAUGGAAAAGGGUAGUAGAAAAAAAAAACAGAGCAUUGGGAUAGCUUGACACAACUCCAUAGCGUACUCUGCAGUUAGUAGAUGAACUACCGUAUACAAGUUUGGGAAGAAUAAUGGCAACAGAUUCUCUGGCUAGGCUUUCAUCGUUCUGACUGAUCACUAGAAAUCACUCUCUCAGCUGCCACAGAAUGAAUUCCACUGACUGUGUACUCACUGCUUUAAAAAAAAAAAAAAAAUCUUUAAGAAUUAGAUUUUUAGAGUUACACAUGACCCAUCUUUGGUUUAAUCACUGCUCUGCUGUUUCGUGGUUUCUUAGGCAAUAGAUGUUGCCCUUUAAGGUUUUUAAUUUUUAAUGCAAUUUUAAUUCAUAAUUCAAUGAUAUGUUUCUGUCAUACAGUUAUAACUGCAAACAGCAAUUGUCCAUACAGCAGAUCGAGAAUGUCUACAUGAAGCAGCAGCAACAUACAAAGCUCAGAAAUGCUUGCUUAGAACAAGUACAUUUAAAAUAUUAAGAGGCUUUAAGUAACAUCAUAAUAACAAUAAUUUAGACUUCAAAGAAACAGUAAGCACACUUAAUUCUUGCAGCGCUGUACUCCAGUCUGGGUCUUACUUACUGUUCAAAGUAUUCCUGCUCGUGUCCUCUCUCUUUGCAGCGUAUUUCCACUUUGCUGCAUCGUUACGAAUCUCAACUGGUUUUGAGCACAUCUUGAUAACAGUCACUCCUCAAAUUGUGAUUUUCUAUGCUAACUGCACAUUUUCAGUGUCUUAAAAAAAAAUUCUUUGACUUUUCAGAAGAGCUAAACCUAGGUGUAAAAUUCAGAAUCCACUCAGAGUCUCUGACUGUGCUUCAGAAUAGGUACUGCAGUUCUAAAACGUGAAACUAUGAACGAAUACAAGAAGACACGCAAUGUGUACUGUGAUUUCUACAUAGUAUUUGCUAUUUAGCCAUGUUGUAUUGAUUGGGUUAUCAACUGAUUACUACCUAGCAGCUGCAAUGCUAACACUCAUCAACAAAUCUGUCAGUUGGAAAAUCACAGAAUCACAGAAUGGUUUGGGUUAGAACGCACCUUUAAGAUCAUCUAGUUACAACCCCUCUGCUAUAGGCAGGGACACCUCCUUCUCGACCAGCUUGCUCAAAGCCCACCCACCCUCCUUGACUGCUGCCAAGGAGUAGGCAUUCACAACCUCACUGGACAGCCUGUUCCAGUGUCUCACCACCCUUAGAGUUAAGAAUUUCUUCCUGACAUCUAGUCUAAAUCUACCCUCAUCCAGUUUAAAACCAUUUGCCCUCAUCCUGUCACUACCUGACCUUAUAACAAGUCCCUGCCUGGCUUUCCUGUAGGCCCCUUCAGGUACUGGAAGGAAAAAAUACUCUUGUUCUUUCCUUGUUAUUGUGCCACUGGUGACAGCCAGAGUUCCUUCUGUAAGAAUUCUACGAAGAAAUACUUAACAGCCUUUCUAAUCAUUGAAAAUGAUUAGAUUUAAGCAAAAAUGCUAAGACCCCACUGCUACAACAGCAGCUGAGGGGACGCUGCUCCUAAGAGCCACACUUUCUCACAACCAAUUAAUAAGGUUACAGCAUAUGCUUCCCAAGGGGCCUGACAACUCUCCUAUCUGCUUUACCUUACAGAAAAGUGGAGAAUGAACCAUGUGCUGAUAUGGGGGUGAAGGACAGAGGAGCUAUGUCAGGGCUGUGACUACUCCUGGCAAAGGUGGAGGGGGUAGUGACCCCAUUCCUUAGGCGUUCCAAUAAAACAAUCACAUUUAUUUAACAAACUGUAGAUUAACACCAACCUGUAGUUUAAUAAUUCCAUAGUAAAAACACUGUAUAUUGAAUAAAACAUGAAUCAACCGUGCUCUCUUUCCUUGAGCUCUUGCUUUACAUUCUUCCACCGCAGUUGCACUACAGUGCUCAUUAGUACUUAAAAAAUCUACAGGGGAUAAGACAUAAACACCUGUUAUUAUGCCAAGAAGGCAAAGCAGCACAGUAGCAAGAAGUUUUGAAAAUCUAUUAAUUCUCAGAAUCCUUGAAAUCUCAGUAAAAUAAGUGUGAGCCUAAUGCUAUUUUGAUUAAAUUAAUGCUUACCUACUUCAUUGCCUUCCCAUUCUAGGUGGAUUGGCAGAGUCUGAUUUACAACCAUGGCCCCAGCUAGCUGUUGAGUGGUAAUGUGGGAGAAUUUUUUUUUGCAGGGGGUGUGCAGGUGGGUGCAGGCGUUUUCUCAGUCUAUAGCAAUUUGUGGAAACAGUCAAGAAAGCAGCUAGUAACAUUCAUCUCUGGCAGGGUAUGUUCUUACAUUUGUUCUUUUACGCUUAAAGACUGCAAUACCUGUGUUGAGGAUUUGAUUACUGUGAGGCUACAUCUGUUAAAUGAAAACCUCUUAAAGUGAAAUUACUCAGGAAGUCUUUUUAACAUGAGAAACAAAGUUUGAUUUUUUUCCCAUUCACAAUCCGAGGAAACAGUUUCUCAGAGUUAAGUUACUGCUUUGGCUUUGAAGCAUCACAUAUAGCCACAUUCAUUCUGAUACUAGCUGGAGAUAAUAAAUGCAAGCAAACAUACUUAUCUAGGUAUUAGGACACGAGGAACUACUUGCCAGAGGUAAAAUGGUUUACCACAGGCUACAGAGAAUUUAACUUAGGUUUAAAUUACUCACAGAGGCAUCUGCAGGCUCCAUUUCUGAUUCUCUGUUGUGCUGUCUAAAGAUUUAUUCUAGAAUGCAAAUGAAAGUUGGUCUCUGCUACCAGAUACUCUUUAUUGUAUCUUUUUGCUACCAGAUACUCUUUAUUGUAUCCUUCCUGGUUUUUUUUGUUUUGUUUUGUUUUGUUUUUUGCUUUUUGCUUUUUUUUCUUAUUUAACUAAGCCAAAAGUUUGAAAAAGUUAAAUAAGAAAUCUCUUAUUUUGUAAAUAGGAAGUACAAAAUGUUUCUUUCCACCCACAAAGAAUCGACUAUGUCCACUCCAGCAAAUCCUUUGACCAUGGUAUCUUUAUAGCUAAUAUGUGCAAAGAAUAGUGACAGAAGAAGGAAGAAGUGGAACAAAAAAGCUAACAAGUAGCUGCUGUUGCCCAGAAACAGGCUAACAAGCUACAGAAAGGGAAAGUUAUUAAAAGGAACACACAAGUCAGACGUUUCAGGUCUUAUCUUCUUGGGCUUUCUUAUUUAGGGUGAAAAACAUUUUAGAAAACAAAACAGUGAUAAAGUCGCCUGGAUUCAGGGGGGUUGUUUGUUAGUGAUUGGUUUUCAGGGGGUUCUCAUGUGGAACAGUGAAUGUGGGUGGUUGUUACUCAUGGCAGCAAACUGUUGGGGACUGUAAAACAGCCAUAGCUUUCCUGUUUUCAUUUCCUCUGCCAGAGCUCUGAAAAACACACAGGGCUGCUGUGUGUUUUUUGUGCUACCACAAAUCUGAACAUUUUAAGGCUGUUUAAAAUGUCUCCUUUAGUUGCUGCUGACAUCCUCCAGUCCUCGGCUGCGGCACAUCAGCAUGGCUGAGCAGCAUAGCUUCCCAAGCUGGGUGCCCAGGCCUUCCCAUUUUCAUCUGCUCCUUACUCUGACAGCCACGUGUUACCCUUUAUCCUGCCACUGAGGUGGCCACCUUCUCUAAGAAGGCUUUGGCUGGCUCUGGGCACACCUCAGUCUUUUUCUGUUUAGGUGCUACCCAAGGGCUAGAAGAUGCAGAGUUCUGGGAAACUCGUUACUUUGCAUAGGUUCUUGCUUACGCAGGUAUUUAAAAAAAUGCACUGAUGACAUCUGAUGACUAGAAAAAUAGCUUAUUUCUCUUUACCUUCAAGUUGCCUGAUUUUUUGUCCUCAGAAAUCCUGUACGAAGUAGACCCGUAGAUUCUGAUUACUAGGGUCUCCUGGGACAGUCACUGCAUGGAAAGCUUCUGAUUGCAGAAACUUUUGGAUCUGACUGGCCAAUAAACUUGAGGUUUUAGAAACAGAUGUGCUGUGUCCAGCACACAGAAUGCCCUUCCCUUCCAAAGGGAGAGGAUUAAGGCCAUAAGAAGGAGGCAGAUAAGUCAGUUUGAAUUUCCAGGUGGGAGCUGGCAUGCAGACAGUCCACUUUACACCAAUGUGCUGCUCAAAAGGAGGAACAGGCACCUCAUUUAAAUCUGCACCAUGCUAGUAAAGAAACACGAGCUGGUUUUGGAAGUGUUUUCCAACAGCAUGGAGGAAGACCAGAGACAGGAGUUUGGAAUCCAGCACAGGCUGAAGGAGGAGACAUUUAUAGCAGCUUAGAGCAGUUCCCAGAAGAGGAGACUGCAGCAGUGGGGCAGGAAGGUCUUAAGGGUAUUUAUUAGCAGCUGGUGCUAUUAAAUCAGCCAUCCAGCACAACCAUUCUGGUUCCCUUUAGGGUACUGACAGUAUGAAGCAGAAGCAUUUCCUCCUGAUGUUUUUCCAACACUAAUUUCACAGAGCUAGGAAGUGGGAAUGUGUCAGAGGAUGGCUCUUCUUGUGUCCCACACACUGGAUCAUGACUGGGUGGACCAUCCCUCAGGGUCUUGGGAAGGAAAGAAGAGGAGACAUGCUGAAGACAUGCAGCAUUUACGUUUGUAUUUUUAUUCUUUCCCAUGUGAUGACUCUGUAUGUCUCCUGGGAGCUCCAAGUGAUCAUCCACAAACUCUGGUUGAUGUCUCCUUAAAGCCAGUUUGCUGUGCUCCUGCAGACUGUCCUUCAAGCAAAGGCAGUGUAUACAAAAUACGAUGUAUUUACUGAAAAUGUGCCUCUUCUCUUUGAAGCUGCCUGUAAUUACAUAUCUAGGGAAUAGUCUGAUGUUUAGAUUUUCAAGUGUAUGGCUGGUUAUGUUUAGCAUAUUUGUCAUCUUUUCCCUUUCCUGUUGCACUACUUGUGGUCAUAAAUUAUGUUACAAAAAGAAUGAAGACUGAGAGCAAGUCACAGGAGCACCGAAACAAGAGGCCAAGAACAAGUAAAGCACUUUCAGGUGGUGGCCAUCUCCUCUGAGCCUCCUAAGAGUGAUAGUGAUUCCAGCUGGUUCUCUCUAACAGUUGCCACACAGAAGAGAGUCUAGCUAUUUCCCAUGAUGUUGGAUGCCCAAAGGGAUCUGAUGAUGAGCCUAACGCAACUUCUUGGGGAGAAAGGCUGGCCAGCUGCCACAGCUUCUCCCCUGUGCAGCCAGACCAAAUGUCUCCUGCUCAGCAGAGCUGGCUUGGAGCCCAUGGGAUAAAUUCUGCUCUUGGAUAUGGAAGCAUAAAUUCUGAAAGUCUUAGCUGGUUUCAAAGGAGGUAUUCCAGAUUUACACCAGCUUUCCUAUGGUCAGAAGCCAAACUGAGGUCUAGAGAAUAAAAUAAAUUCACACUUUUUGUCAAAAUUUAUAAGGUUCCUUCACAAAGCUUUCAAACAGGAUUUAUCCUCUGGUUAAAAAUACAUUUCAGUUGACUUCAUCCUUGUCAGCUGUUGAGCAACAUCCCCAAAAUCAUGUUUUGCUACCAACACAGGAUUUUUACUUAUAGAUGUGUAUUUAUGUGGACAGUACCACAGAAAUAAUUUAAACUAUAAAUUUACAGACAACUUCUCAACAAAUUAUUGUCAUUUCACUAUUUUUCUCAAAAAAAUUUAAUAAUCUAAUCUAUAUUCUCUUAGGUUAGUAGUUGGUUUUCUUCACACCAAUAGACUACUAAUGCAACUGUGCAGUUGCAGAUAUGAGCUCCAAAUAUUGACCUCCAGCAACUAUGCACUGAUUGAGUGGGAUUCUGCGGCUGAGUGUCACUCUAUGUUAAUUUUUGUUUACAAAUUUUGUUUUUCAAUGUUUUAGUCAUUAAGAUUAGGGAAUUGUAAUGAUAAAUAUAGCUUAAAUAUUUUCCUUCAUUUCCUGAAGACAAAUGCUGUUUUUAAUAUAAGCUAUUUCGUGCUACAGUUGACAUCACCUAUGAUUCUGUUUGGGACAGUAUUUGGAAAUCCUGGACAUUUCAAAAAUAUGCUAUUGCAUGUUAGUGGGUCUGUCCCUAAGGUCGCUUAACACUUCACUUCAUAAAAUCAUAUUUUCCAUUGCUUAAAGCACUGAUAAAACUUAAACCAUGCAGGUUGCAUUUUCUGUGCUUUCUGCUUCAGGCUACUCUUAUUUAGCUAUAGAAAGUUUCAGAUGGAGCACUUCAGCCUUUGAAAAACAUUUAGUUUAGCUCAGUAAAAGAAGUGGGACAUGGGCACAGAAAGAGGUAAUGGGAAUGAAGUCAGAAAUAAAGGGGAGGAAACUAAGCUGGGAUACAGCUACUAGGAAGCAGAAAGACAGACCAGGGAAAGAGAAUGGAGAAAGGAAUUAUACUGACUAGUGAGGUCUGUGGAAAAGGGAAUGACAGAAGUGAAACACGUCUUGAAGACUGAGCUGAUAGGAACAGAACAGAAUUGCAUAAGGAAGCUGGAAAUGUUUCUUGUUGCCCUUCAGAACUGCAAUCAGAUGCAACUCUUGGUGGGCUUUGGCAUUCUUAACCCCAUCUUUGCAGGCUUGGACAGUACCUCUGUUUUCCCCCUGGGCCACCCAUCUCUGUUUCCAUGUCUUGCAUGCAUUUAGUUUAUGGCCAAGGUCGGUCAGGAGAUCCUUCACCCAUACAGGCCUCCCGCUGCUUUUCUAUACUUUCCUUGAGCUCGGAGAAGGUCAUCUUUGAAAAUGACAAAGAGCUGCUGGAGAAGAAAACAUCCUGAACAUCAAAUGCUGUCUGAGAUUAUAAUGUGCUACCACAUUAUAGCCUUGCAUCUGUCGAAGAUUUUUUGUCCUCCUCUCACUAACGGGCACUUAUAGACAGCAUAUUUUCACAACUACUCAUUUCUUAUUUUAUGGAUGUCUGUCCUGAACUCAGAUUCUGAUUGACAGAAAUGCUGAACACCAUUUAUUGCAACUGAGACAAAUAACAACUUGUAAUUUGAACAUAAAAAGCUUUAUUGUUCUGAACACCAUGCUCACAACAUCUCAGUACAGCACUUCCAAGUUUGGAGAAACUUUUGACCUUCAUCUCUUUGUGCCUCAACUAAAUGCUAUCCCUUAUCUUGCAAGAGUUUGUGAAGUUAAAUUAAUUAGUCACUGUGAAGCCCUUAGAGACAGUAGUGAGUGAUAGAUGAGACAGAAAAGUCUGUGAGAUAACCAUUUCUCUUCUGAGAUGCUUUGAACAGUGAGAAACAAAUAAGAUUGGUGCCACACACAGCAUAAAAAGCAUACCAGAAGGUGCUGGGCGGGUUUUUGUGAGGCUGUUUACCCUCAGCACUGAAAGAGGCAAGGAUCCUUCAUCAGACAGUGAGAGACAUCAAUGCUGCAAGGAAAAAUACAUUUCACUAAUAUCAUAGAACGUAUUUUCUAUAGAAUUAUGGUACUGUAAUCACUGCAGCUUUACCACGUAUUUUGUUACAUCCCUCUUCAUAGAAACAGAGCUUGGCUGUAAAUCUAAGUUAGCAGCUUAAAACAUGAACACUCCCCUGUUAUCUUUCAUGGAAGUCAGAUUAUUUAGUGCCAGAUUUUCAAGUCUGCUCUUUUUAAAAGAUGACGUAUGCAUUUAUAAUUCAACUGCCAUUCUGACAGCAGAGAAACUUCUCUCCUAACUGCUUCAGAUUUACAGUGAAUGAACUUCAAAGCCAAGGAUGUAAUACAUUCAGUGAGAAUUUUGCAGUGGUCAAACCCCAGCUGUAACCAGGGAAUUUCUAUGGUUUUACAGCACAGUGAGACCGAAGCAAAUGAGAUGAGUUGGUGAGCAUAAACUUCUGGACCUUUGGCACCUCUCAAACCCACCUAAACAUUUUUCUGUCUCUGACACGCUUCUGUGAGUUCUUUUCACAACUUGACUUCUCUUCAAGUUAGAAAUCUGCUUCUGCUUUAUCUGUGGCUGGUUUUUGUGCUGUUUCUCUUCUCUCUGUGCUAUGUAUUUUGCAGACAUGUUUUCCAAGAAUGAUCACAUCUCCUCUCAGCUUUCUUUUGUUGAGCUAAAUGAGAUAAACUCUUAAACUGCCUCACAUGAAAUGGACUUCCUGUUCUCUUGGGAGUACUCUUUCUGCAAUUCCUGCAUUUUGAACUCAGUGUUUCAAUAAGGCUUGUCAGGACCUUAGUCUAGAGAAUACAGUAACACUAGAAUUUCCUGAUGGCCAGCUGGGAAACACUUUACUGGCACUUGAAACCCUGUACUACCUAGCAAAAGGCAUCUGUGGCACACAAGGCUUUACAGAUAUCCUAAAUUUAACAUGCCCACACCUUUUUCCUCUUCUGGUAUUCCAGCAGAAAUGAGUUAGGCUGGGAGCAAAAUUGAUGAGAGCACAAACAGUAUGCACUGGAAGCUGGAACUGGAUCUAAAGUCUUCACUUCAGAGUCACAGCAAUUCAUUCUUUAUUGCAAACAAACAAACGAACAAAGAAACAAAAACUAUCAGAAAACACCCCAAAAGCCAAAAAGAGUACAAAAACUUAUUAUCUAGAGGAAUAUUCUGUAAUAAUUAAAAUUCCUCUUGAAUUAUGAUUACUGCGCUGUCAUAGUAUGAGCAAAAUCGUAAAAAUGAAAUGAGCACAGAAGCAGCCAGUCCCAUUUCCAGCGAAUACACCAGAGGGGUGAGGAUAGGAGAGGUGGCCUUGCCCAGCUGUGCCUGGGGCAGGACUGCUGCCACCCAGCCCCGGGGAAAAUCCGGGGGAGAAGUCGAGACAGGCUCUGUGCUGAGGGCUGCAGGAAGAGCUGCAUCCUUCCCAUGCCACUCUGCAGUCACAAUCACAGGAAGUUAAUACUCUUCCUUGAUGUAAUUUAUCCCACUGAAAUCUCUUCCUCCGAAUUGUGACACCUGUCCAUUUUCACACAAUUAAAGAAGACUUCAUCUAGCAGAAAAAAAAAAAAAAAAAAAACAUUUGCACUUGCACUCACUCCCUUCAGCCUCCAUCUGACAACUGGACCAGACACUGGUGGUGGGACAAAGGGAAUGAAAAUGCAGUACUUCGAGGUAUCUGGAGCCUCUGCCUUCAGCUUUUAAAUGUGAUAGGAUCAAAAAUAAUUUUUCAUUUAAUACAACAAGCAUCUGGUUGACGUGUCAGGUAUUUCGCAGUCCGUAAGACAUUGUUAAAAAUGUAACCAGCCAUGGAGGUGUCAGGAGGAAUCAGUAUAUAUGGCAUGUUCCGGUGGAUGACAGAAAUAAAUCCUUUACAUACAAUGUCAAAGGCAGAAUUCUUCAGCCUACACAGUCACAAUGAAAAGCAGGAUGAUUCUAGGUGAAAAGAUAUUUUAAGUCUGUACUACUGUGAAGAUUACGCAAUCACCCAUUUGGCUUAUGAAAACUGAAGGUACAGAGAUGAGAAGACCAAGGAAAGGGAUCAGGUCUUCACAGCUUCCUAGUUUAUUAUGGGCAGCAAAAUAUAGUCUGAAAAGGCCAUAUAGGCAAGAGGACUAAAGAAUGGUGAUGUUAUCUGACCAUGAAAAGCAUGGGGCAUGAAAUGCCCUGGAGGUGUGUCUUAACAAUUGCAUGAAAAAAACCAUCCUUUAAAUCCUUUGUGGGGCUUUUAACAAUUUUCAUAAAUAUUCACAAUUUUAUUCCUGAUAAUCUGUCGUAGUUCUUCACAGCUACCUGAACAUCCCCCCUGUUGCUGCAGUUUUAAUGUUGUCAUAUUCUGAACAAAACCACAUCAAAAAACACACUGUAAGUAAUGCUCUUCUCUCUUAAACAUGCUUGGAAUUUCACUACCACGAACAUUUUAGAAAUUGCAAUCUCCUAUUACUAUCUGUUAUUUACACUGGGCCGAGGGACAGAAACGGAAAUGAGAAAAGACAAAAAGAAAUGGCAUCACCUUAUCUUCAGAGCUGCCCCACGACUCUCCAGCUCACACAAGAGAUAGCCUGUACAGCACAGCAAGCCCGAGCUGCGCGGGUUCCCUGUGACCAAAUCCACUCACAGCAUUCGCAAACCUUUCAUGGGGCAGCCUGGGUCUGUAAGAGGGAUGGCUGCGCUCUGCCUAAAGCAAGGCUGUUCCUUAAAUGAAGUCAGCUUCAAGCUCGAUCAGGAAACUCCAGAAAAACGGUUCGCCGGUAGGCGGGAAGACUGACGUUAGCAUGGCGUUAGGAGCCACGGAUGAAGCAAGCUGCCCCCGGAGGUUAGUAAGGCCUGGAAGCUUUGAUGUAGCUGGAGCAUGGCUCCUUUGUAUUCUGUUUGCAAAAGGCUCCCCUGCGGAGUUUUUGUUUGGGUUGUUAAAAUCUGUUUAACUCAAAGAGCUGACAAUAAGCACUUGGGAGCAAAACCGCCUCUUUGAAAGUCUUUUUGCUGCUCAACUGCACUGGCCAGCCCUGCAAAUUUAUAGCUCUGCUUGCUCUCACUGCUCCAAAGGCUGCUUAAGCAAACAAUUAAGCUUUGCUGAUCACUCUGGGCACGAGUGGCAAAAUCUGCACUUUCUGCAUAGCCUAGAACAUACUCAGAACGAAUAAGCUUUCUCUAUCCCUCUUUCUCGUAUCUUGUAUUAGGCAGCUCCAGGUUUCAGGUUUUAGUAGUCAAGGGCAACCUACCCUCAGCAAGGACUGCAAUUCUACUGUGUGAGCCCCCUAGACCGGGAAACAUUAGUAUUAAAGGAGGGUGUCGGUUUACACUCGGUGUUCCUUAGGUAAGGCCAUCGCCAUCCCUUUUGAAUACCUGACACAGACAGUUUUGAUUGCUGAUUAAGGUUGUUGCAUGUUCCCCCCACACAGACAGGCUUGGUAAGGACUGCUCAUUAUUUCCAAAACAGACCAGCAUGGACCUUGCUUCCUGCUCGCUGCAUUGGCUGCCUGUCUGCUCCCAUGACCUAUAUGAUGGGCACAAUGACUGCCUCACCACCAGCUGCACUCUGUGCAUGUAAUUCUGAAGCACCAGAAAAGUCUGAAGGCAGAGAAUACCGACGUGCUGUUCGAACUUAACACAGCUUCAGUGUAAGAUUUGGGUUGUAUGUGCAAGCAGAAAACAUUUUGCUUCAAGGUGUGUGCCACAGUGGGAUCAUCAGAACUUACUAGAUUGAGUGCACGGAUCAGGAAACUGUUGUGCUGGGUUUGGAGUAACAAUACAGAAUUCAGAGAUGGUUCAGAAUGUUUAACGUGUAGAAAGAUGUUCCAUUCUGAAAAGACUUUUGGGGAACGAUAAAAAAACCUGCUCUGUCAGAGCCCCUGAUUUUAUACAGGAAAAUAUCUUUAAAAGAAAGAAAGGAAGCCAAACUUGAAUAAGCUUUUUGUCCACUUUGAAACUUAAUGUCUAGCAAAUUCCAUUUCUGAUAGAUUUUAGACUUCUUCUCUUUCAGUCUGGCAGAUGUAGACGUCAACACUCCAGCCAGGUCUUACAGCCUCAUCUUCAAACUCUUCCCUUUCCACUUCGCUCACGUUGCUGUGGGCAGAAUACUGAUGGACACAGUGUAAGGAUGGAACAUCUACUUGCUUUGGUACGAGUGCCACGUUUUUUCCUCUAUGAACAGGAUCACAAAGACGUGACUGAGAAUGAACUUCUGUUCUGUAAUUCUUCGCAUACAUGCACACAAGGGCCCUUAAAUUUGUCCCUCUGCUCAAGCUCCUGUACAGAUUUGUAAGCACAGUUUACAGCACUUUCUCCCUUGACAGUUAAACUAUUUCUUUCCACUGCAGAAGACACCGGGUGAAAAGUCGGUAUAUAGUAGGUUUUGGGUGGUUUUUUUUGUUUGUUUGUUUGUUUGUUUGAGAAAAAAGAAGGAGUUUUGCUUAAUGCAAUUAUUUUAUCCUGCCUUUAUCUACCUAAAAUGGCAGUACAUUUGGAGAAUGCAGGAGGUGUUUUGUGGGAAGUAGUAAUGAAUAAUUCACGAAGGAUUAAAAAUACUUUGGGGUUUAAUUCAGAAUCUUUUUAUUUUCCCUUAGUUUCCUUCCCUAUUUAUAUUGAAUAUAAACAAGGAACUUGUUCUAAAAUAGUGAGAUGAAGGAAUGAACUAGAGUGAAAUAAAUUGAAUAAUUCCUAAAGUAAUUAGAUAAAUUCUAGACCCUGUAUUCAUACCUAAGUAAAAAUGAUUGCUUAGAUAUUCAGAUCAUCCAUGCACUUAGCCACAGCUGCAAGGGAUUUGUAGGUGGAGAAUUAUCUAACAAUCUGCCCAUUUUUGGUGGCCUGAGACACUGUCAUUGCCUUGAGCUGUAGCUGAGCCUUUCGCUGACACUAUGCUCCUCUUUCAUACUGCUUCGGUCAAGUGUUCCUAUAGAACAUUGCUGUGGAGGCUAAAGGGAAACGGGUAGGGAAGAUGCAAGAACAGGUAUUACAGCUAGGAAUCAAAUGCUGUUCUGAAUCAUUACCUGGAAGAUUCUUCAGCUGCAGUCCUGUAGAUAAACUGAGUGGAGCACUUACAGUGCAGUUCUUCAGUGUGGAUAACCUAACACACCAUUUUUACAAUUAUUUUUCCCAAUUUACCUGUGCAUUUCAAAGAUUUCAAAAGACAUUACAGAAAGAAGGUAGCAAGAGAACAGGUAAAACACUGCUGCUCCACAAAGCCCUGACAAGGAGGAUUCCAGUCCAUUCUGAGUCACGUUUACAUGGUGCCGAAGUAUUGGGUGAGAGAGGAGGAUGUUUGAAGGGGUAUUUCCAAAGGGGUUUCUCCUCUGGCUUUCUGGGAUUAUACCUGUGUGUCUAACCCAGCAUGGUCAGCUCUGCAAUGAGCUAAACAAACACACCAUCCUUUUCCUAACUUUCUUCUGUUAAAAACAAGUUGUAAUUGGUCACAGUGACUUGGUAUUUUCAUAUAAUGCUGAAAUCAAAAAAAACCACUCUGCUUCUACCUUUAGUUCUUAUCUCUGGUAACGUGAUCUAAGGAUCAGAACCUUGACUUCAGAUACCUUCCAGCCCCUGGAUUUCUGAAAGGUUUCAGGGUUAAUAUUAUUUUUGCUUGUUUUCUUUUUCUCACUAUAAAUAUGAUGAGCAAAAGGAUGUUGCCAUGGAGACAUUUCAUAACGUACUUAAAGGCACUUGUUACAGUUAUGUGCCAUAGAGUCAUCCUCAUUUUUGUCUUAAUUAUAAAGAUGUGCAAAAAAUCACAAAAAUACAGUCUAUUAUCUUUUUCAGAUGUUUAGAAUUCUCAUUUCAUUUUCAGAUGAAACAAAUUAUUUGACAGAGACUUUAUUAUUUGAAGACCUACACAUUUACAACCAGAAGGGAGGAUAAUAGCUUAUUAAAACCAAUACAUUUUACACUUACAUGAGGUGUCAUCACGACCUGAAGUCCAGUUUUGCAGUGUGUUGAACUAGAGACUACCAAUGAAAAUAAGAGAACUCUUGCAAUCCGAUUUUUCCAUGUGCUUGUGGUAGACCUGUAUAAAAUUCACUGGAUUUGCUUUGUGUGCUUUUUGCCUUCACAAAAGGCAGGGUUUUUCAUGAGCUACUGAAAUACAGUGCCAUAGAGCCUUCUCUCAGGCAGUUAGCAGCCUGGAUGCUAGUGCUGCACAUUAGCCAGGUCUGUGCUGCUCCGAAAGCAGCCGAGGUGCUUUGUCCUCCACCUGACUUUCUCCCUGAGCUCGGGAAGUUCACCUGCAGGCCAUGUGCCCAGGCACUGCUGGGGCUGCCCUGUCCCCUCGACAUGCUCAAGCACACGAGUACACAGCAAGUUCUGCUUUUCCUUGAGUUAGAACUUGCAGCCUCAUUGUGUGCACCACCUGCAAGGUUGAGAAAUCCAGAGGCUCAUCUGGAACAUAUAGGAUGGGCCUGAUUUUAUCUAAGGCCACGAGUCUCAAGAAGGGUUGCAGUGAUUCUUCUCAAAAUUUUCAGUGAGGACAUUUAGAAAGGGACUCCUUCCAUGCAGCACAGAGCAGCAGUUCUGCAGUUUGAGGGUUGGUCGAGCUGCCCCUGGAGCCCACAUGGCACCAGGACACUGCCAGGCCAAGGCGAUGCCGGGGGCAGUGCACAGCUGUCCCUGCAGCCGGCCCAAAGGUCUGCACGGUGUGCCAGUGACAACUGCCUUUUACUCUCAUUUACAAACUGCCUUCAAAUUAUGCCCUCUGAGUUCUGACUGCUGAAACCACUGAGGUAUAGUCAAGUUGAAUUACAGGUUAGGAUUUAAACAGGCUGUAAUUUCAGUCUUCUAUUUCCAACUUCCUACAUAAU